CAGGGAUUCCCCUAGUAACGGCGAGUGAAGCGGGAACAGCUCAAAUUUGAAAUCUGGCCCUUGGGUCCGAGUUGUAAUUUGCAGAGGAUGCUUUUGGUGCGGUGCCUUCCGAGUUCCCUGGAACGGGACGCCUUAGAGGGUGAGAGCCCCGUACGGUUGGCCACCAAGCCUGUGUAAAGCUCCUUCGACGAGUCGAGUAGUUUGGGAAUGCUGCUCAAAAUGGGAGGUAUAUUUCUUCUAAAGCUAAAUACUGGCCAGAGACCGAUAGCGCACAAGUAGAGUGAUCGAAAGAUGAAAAGCACUUUGAAAAGAGGGUUAAAUAGCACGUGAAAUUGUUGAAAGGGAAGGAUUUAUGACCAGACUUUUUCUAGGGGGAUCAUCCGGUGUUCUCACCGGUGCACUUCCCCUAGUUGAGGCCAGCAUCGGUUUCUGUCGGGGGAUAAAAGCUUCGGGAAUGUGGCUCCCUCCGGGGAGUGUUAUAGCCCGUUGCAUAAUACCCUGACGGGGACCGAGGUUCGCGCAUUGCAAGGAUGCUGGCGUAAUGGUUAUUAAUCACCCGUCUUGAAACACGGACCAAGGAGUCGAACAUUUGUGCGAGUGUUUGGGUGUUAAACCCUCACGCGUAAUGAAAGUGAACGGAGGUGAGAGCCCUUCGGGGUGCAUCAUCGACCGAUCCUGAUGUCUUCGGAUGGAUUUGAGUAAGAGCAUAACUGUUCGGACCCGAAAGAUGGUGAACUAUGCGUGGAUAGGGUGAAGCCAGAGGAAACUCUGGUGGAGGCUCGCAGCGGUUCUGACGUGCAAAUCGAUCGUCAAAUCUGCGCAUGGGGGCGAAAGACUAAUCGAACCAUCUAG
This 852-nucleotide ribosomal RNA is filed under the name Apiospora rasikravindrae. RNAcentral's name for it is "eukaryotic LSU rRNA". It matches the Rfam family "Eukaryotic large subunit ribosomal RNA", at positions 69 to 947 of the family's 3401-position model. Lineage: Eukaryota; Fungi; Ascomycota; Sordariomycetes; Amphisphaeriales; Apiosporaceae. The record is from RNAcentral.